AGAUUGAACGCUGGCGGCAGGCCUAACACAUGCAAGUCGAGCGGUAGAGAGGUGCUUGCACCUCUUGAGAGCGGCGGACGGGUGAGUAAUGCCUAGGAAUCUGCCUAGUGGUGGGGGAUAACGUUCGGAAACGGACGCUAAUACCGCAUACGUCCUACGGGAGAAAGCGGGGGACCUUCGGGCCUCGCGCCAUUAGAUGAGCCUAGGUCGGAUUAGCUAGUUGGUGAGGUAAUGGCUCACCAAGGCGACGAUCCGUAACUGGUCUGAGAGGAUGAUCAGUCACACUGGAACUGAGACACGGUCCAGACUCCUACGGGAGGCAGCAGUGGGGGAAUAUUGGACAAUGGGCGAAAGCCUGAUCCAGCCAUGCCGGCGUGUGUAGGAAGUAAGGGUCUUC
Molecule: ribosomal RNA, 397 nt
Filed under: uncultured soil bacterium
Lineage: Bacteria
Description: bacterial SSU rRNA
Rfam family: Bacterial small subunit ribosomal RNA
Source: RNAcentral